CUUGGCACUGGAAGAAUUCACAGAUAGGUUAUGAAGUCGUGGGUUCUCGGGUGCCAAAGA
This 60-nucleotide microRNA precursor is filed under the name Limulus polyphemus (Atlantic horseshoe crab). Its description in RNAcentral is "Lpo-Mir-96-P2r_pre stem-loop". The record is from RNAcentral. Lineage: Eukaryota; Metazoa; Arthropoda; Merostomata; Xiphosura; Limulidae.